Myotis brandtii (Brandt's bat) is the source of this 469-nucleotide long non-coding RNA. RefSeq lists it as uncharacterized. The record is from RefSeq and is a predicted model, not a curated record. The transcript is spliced from 2 exons. NCBI's taxonomy places the organism in Eukaryota, Metazoa, Chordata, Mammalia, Chiroptera, Vespertilionidae.
ACCACCUUACUCUUCUUCCGGUUUUCAGAGCAAACUACCAUUUGUUCUCUUCCCUUUCAGGGUGUUUCCUUCGCAUUUAAAUUGAUGUAAGCCUAAAUAUAAGGUUUGUGGCUACUUGACUGUUUUUCCCCCCUCCUCCCUUGUUAUCUUUAUCUUUCUACAUAGAUCUACCUUGUUCUUUUUAAGAGAUGCACGGUGUUCCAUAAUGCAGAUUACCAUGUUAAUUUUAUCUUCCCUCCACCGAUGAAUAGGUUCCCAAUUUUUGGCUAUUUCUUCACUACCACUCCCCAAAACGCUGGGGCCUGAGUUUUACUGUGCGCAUGCGCAUGUGCCCACGGGUUACCUUCCUAAAGACGUGAUGGCUUUGAGUCCUUUUUCAUUUUCAUUCUCCCGGGAACCGCAGCAGAUGCAACAGUUCCCAGCACCGAAACCAGACACACAACCUUCAGCCACCGAGCUCUACGACUAA